Firmicutes bacterium CAG:240 is the source of this 266-nucleotide non-coding RNA. It matches the Rfam family "Bacterial large signal recognition particle RNA". From Rfam's summary of the family: The signal recognition particle (SRP) is a universally conserved ribonucleoprotein involved in the co-translational targeting of proteins to membranes. Archaeal SRP consists of a 7S RNA and homologues of the eukaryotic SRP19 and SRP54 proteins. In most bacteria, the SRP consists of a 4.5S RNA and the Ffh protein (a homologue of the eukaryotic SRP54 protein). NCBI's taxonomy places the organism in Bacteria, Bacillati, Bacillota. The record is from Rfam.
CUGCACUAGUUGGGGAGCCAGCGGUGCCCUGUAACCUGCAAUCCGCUACAGCAGGAAUGAAUUCCCAACAUAGGAUCUGUCAUGUGUCGUCUGACACCGGUAAGCAGCGUUGACGAGCCGGUCUCGCGCAACGGAAACCCGUGAACCAUGUCAGGCGGGGAACCGAGCAGCAUUAAGCGGUGCUUUUCGUGUGCCGUGAGGGUGCCGGUUCUGAGCCGGCUGCCGGCGUAACGGGCAUAUGUCAGUUUUCGAAGUUGGGUGUGCAG